This is a non-coding RNA of Camelina sativa (false flax), 1720 nucleotides long. Lineage: Eukaryota; Viridiplantae; Streptophyta; Magnoliopsida; Brassicales; Brassicaceae. The record is from RefSeq and is a predicted model, not a curated record.
AACACUUACUUAAAAUUUAAGAUUUUUUGCCUUUCAGACUUUCUCCUCUUUCUCGAAAACCCUAAAAACAUAAAAUCUAUCAGACCUAACAUAUCAUUUAGCCAAAUAUUACACUUUUUAACUCCCACACUUAAGAAAAAAAACACAAAACUCUAACCUAAUUUCUAUCUUCAUCUCUCCACACCCGACAUUCAUCUUGUUCCAGCCCAGACAAGAGAGAGCGAGAGAGAGAGAGAGAUUACUUAGAAGAUGUUGUCAUAUUCAAAUCUGGAGCCAUCUAAAAUAUCAAAAAUCCAUAUUCGAGUGGGCUACACCAAGAAAGCGAGGAACCCAGAUUCGGCUUGGUCUAGUCAUGGUGAAGAUGAGACGAUUAAGAACGGAAAAGAAGAUUGGGUGAAAAAGUUUCAGAGAUUAGAAAGAUGUGGGUUUUUAUGAUUUGAUCUGGGUUGGUAAGAUAUUGUGGAUCUAAGAGGAGUUUCGAUUUUCUCAUAACAAAUGCAGUUGCAGCGGUAGUGACGUGAAGAAGAUCUGAGAUAAUUUCUACCCCUCAUUCCGGUGUUGACGUUAGACGGGUAAGCAAAUCGUCGGGUCUAAUUUCACUCUCCCGGAAACUAUAAUUCAAAUUUUUGGUUUCUAGUUAAGUUGUGCUCGACAUUUUGUAUUAGAUGCAGCUGAAGCAUGAGCUGAAAUAAAAAGGUGUUGAAGAGUCAUUACUUUAACGGUUAAAGUGAGUAACUGACUAUGAAUUAUGUUAGAAUCCCACCUCUGUUUUAACCUCUUUAAUGUGUUUGUGUAUACUUGUGAAAUUUAAUCAGAAUGCUGGAUUCGUUUGCUAAUGUAAAUUGUAGUUGGUGUUUGAGCAAAUUUUAACCUUGAAGUCGGAAGCUUUUCGAAAGCUUUUCCACUCUCAAGGUCCUCGCUUCUUUUAUUCAUUCUUUCACAGUGUGAUUGAUGUUAUAUUAAUAAUAUUAUUCUCAUGUAGCAAUUGAAUUUAAGUGAUGAAGAGUUGCUACUGAAGCUCAUGAGCUUAUUUAUAUUUUAAUAGAUUUGUAUGAGUUGCUUAAACUUUUUCCGUUGUCUUGUUGUUCUAAUUCUCAUUUUUUUUUGGUUAAAGAAAGGGGAUAAGAGAGCCAGAAAUGCUAGGACACAAGGUUAGAUUUUGUUGUUGUUAUAUUGUGUUGCUAAACAAGACCUUGAAACUCUUGGCUAGAGAGUCUGCUUCCUAUCAAUUUGUAUUGCUGCACUUGGUUUGACAUUACUUAAAUGUGCAGCUUCUAAAAUACUUUCAGGUUAGUGUCUUUUCUAUGUCCAUUGCUAGUUUUAUCUGUGAGUCUUUCUCACUUUGCCUCUAUGAUCUAGUCCUUAAUUUUGCAGUUGUACGAUCAUCCCACUUAUUAUAAAAGGUUUUCUAUGGCCCUUUGAUUUCCUUGUAUCGAUAGAAGAAUGAGGAUGCCAAAUGCUUUUGAAGUUAACAUGUCGUAUUAUCCUUAAAACUUGUAAGGUAAAGAGUAGAGAUCCUAGCCUUGUCCAAGAACAUGAUGAUCUACAGCUCCAUGUACCUUCUAUAUCUCUUCACAUUGGAUGAGUUACAUGUACAUGUUCUUAGAAGCUUGUCUCUAUUGUUUUUUUGUGAUUUUAAUUUUAUUUUAAUUAAGAUUGGUGGCAUUUGAUUUUAUGUAAGACUUCUUUUGGUUAAUGUAAUAUUAAUUUUAUGGAUGUU